This is a long non-coding RNA of Bos taurus (domestic cattle), 445 nucleotides long. NCBI's taxonomy places the organism in Eukaryota, Metazoa, Chordata, Mammalia, Artiodactyla, Bovidae. The record is from Ensembl.
GCGCUGAGCUCACUCACCAGCUGCUCCCAAUCAGGCAAAGGAGUUGGCUGAAGGACCUUUCUGUACCAGGACUGGAGUUUGAGAAAAGCCUUAAGCACAUCAGAUACCAUAAGAAGAAGAAGAAGAAGAAGGAAAAAAAAAAAAAAAAACGAGCACAUGGAUUAACAACCAUGAACUUCACUUCAUAUAUCAUGGUGAGCUGAGAUUGGCUCCAUGUCCUUUUCCCUCUGUGACCAAGGCAGAAGUGGCAGCCCUAACUGGGACAGGUUGAUCUCAUGCAAAAAGAAAAGAGAGAUGGUAGAAGCAGGCAUUUGGAUUCCAUUUCUGCCUGGAAAUGGCACAUGUCAUUGUUAUUUACAAGUCCAAGGGCCAAGACAGCCAUGGGGCUCAACCCUCAGUGGGUGUGACAGCAUAACUCUCACGCAGGAUGGAGCAUGGGUAGGAA